UCCAGCGCACUCACCUAUCCACUAAACGGCAACUUCAAUGUUGAAAGAUUUUAUUAGUUUUUUUAAAAAACACCUAAUCUAGGCAAAAAUAAUAAUAAUAAUAACCCCCAUUAUUUUUGCCUAGAUUAGGUGUUUUUUAAAAAAAAACUAAUAAAAUCUUUCAACAUUGAAGUUGCCGUUUAGUGGAUAGGUGAGUGCGCUGGA
This is a non-coding RNA of Pelobates cultripes (western spadefoot toad), 204 nucleotides long. The record is from the annotation of a GenBank genome assembly. NCBI's taxonomy places the organism in Eukaryota, Metazoa, Chordata, Amphibia, Anura, Pelobatidae.